RNAcentral lists this ribosomal RNA (253 nucleotides) under uncultured bacterium. RNAcentral describes it as "partial 16S ribosomal RNA". It matches the Rfam family "Bacterial small subunit ribosomal RNA", at positions 524 to 776 of the family's 1533-position model. The record is from RNAcentral.
UACGAAGGUCCCAAGCGUUAUCCGGAUUUAUUGGGUUUAAAGGGUGCGUAGGCGGACUAUUAAGUCAGUGGUGAAAGCUCUCGGCCUAACCGAGAAAUUGCCAUUGAUACUGAUGGUCUUGAGUACAUUUGAGGCGGGCGGAAUGUGUCAUGUAGCGGUGAAAUGCUUAGAUAUGACACAGAACACCGAUUGCGUAGGCAGCUCGCUAAACUGUAACUGACGCUGAGGCACGAAAGCGUGGGGAGCAAACAGG